Molecule: ribosomal RNA, 443 nt
Filed under: uncultured bacterium
Lineage: Bacteria
Description: bacterial SSU rRNA
Rfam family: Bacterial small subunit ribosomal RNA
Source: RNAcentral
CCUACGGGAGGCAGCAGUGGGGAAUAUUGCACAAUGGGGGAAACCCUGAUGCAGCGACGCCGCGUGAAGGAAGAAGGUUUUCGGAUCGUAAACUUCUAUCAGCAGGGAAGAAGAAAGUGACAGUACCUGACUAAGAAGCCCCGGCUAACUACGUGACAGCAGCCGCGGAAAUACGUAGGGGGCAAGCGUUAUGCGGAAUCACUGGGUGGAAAGGGACCGUAGGCGGUAGGGCAAGUCAGAUGUGAAAGCCCGGGGCUCAACGCCGGGACUGCAUUUGAAGCUGUCUUGCUAGAGUACAGGAGAGGAAAACGGAAUACCUAGUGUAGCGGUGAAAUGCGUAGAUAUUAGGAGGAACACCAGUGACGAAGGGGGCUCUCUGGACGUUAACUGACGCUGAGGCACGAAAGCGUGGGGAGCGAACAGGAUUAGAUACCCCUGUAGUC